CAGUAGCCACGGGAAUACAGAGGGUGCGAGCGUUAAUCAUUUACUGGGCGUAAAGCGUGCGUAGGCGGCUAAUUGAGUCGGAUGUGAAAUCCCCGAGCUUAACUUGGGAAUUGCAUUCGAUACUGGUUAGCUAGAGUGUGGGAGAGGAUGGUAGAAUUCCAGGUGUAGCGGUGAAAUGCGUAGAGAUCUGGAGGAAUACCGAUGGCGAAGGCAGCCAUCUGGCCUAACACUGACGCUGAGGUACGAAAGCAUGGGGAGCAAACAGGAUUAGAUACCCGAGUAGUCCCUGUCUCUUAUACAA
Molecule: ribosomal RNA, 301 nt
Filed under: uncultured bacterium
Lineage: Bacteria
Description: partial 16S ribosomal RNA
Rfam family: Bacterial small subunit ribosomal RNA
Source: RNAcentral